AUGUGUAUUGAUUCCUCUGCUCAGUGGAGAACAGAACCACCAUUUGAUUCCCAUGUUCCAACUCCUGCCAAUCGAGUGGGCUCCUUCGAGAAAGUACCUGUUAGAAAUUCAGCUGGGAAUGAGCCACAACCUACUAUUAAUCAAGGGCAAGGCCCUAGACAGUUGUCAUUUGUCAUGCCUCAUGUACAUAAUUCAGCUGCACAGUGGCAGCAACAGCCACUGCCUAUUCAACAAUCUUCAUCGCAACCUAUUCCAUCCCAACAGGUACAUCAGCCCCACGAACAGCAUCAACAGGGCCAAGAUCAACAUUCACAUAAACAUGUGACUUUGCAACGUCAGCCUCAGUAAUAAUUGCAGCAUCCGCAGCCAGGGCAGAGCAAGUUUUGUUUGUCUGUCCUGAAUUCAAAGGGGAAUGAUACAACCAAAUGGAUAGAGCAGCUACCCUGAGAGCGGUGGCCUUUGUCAGGAUUGGAAUUUUUUAUGCCCUUUUGGCAGCAAUUUACAGAGACCUGAUACGAGACAUUAGACUACAAUAAUUAGAGACAUGUACAGCACCAUAUGCAACGGGCUUACAAUCAACAAAUGCUGGUGUAGAUAAAGGUUUAUCCUCAAUGGUCAUAUCCGUAACUAGAAUAUGACCACUUUGUCCACAUGGCGACGAUGGUGGCUAUUGUUAUUAAAUUUGUUGCAUCAUUGAGGUCUUAUUUUGAUGAGAAUCUGCAGCUUUACUCCAGUUAGACCUAUGAAGCUGGUGAAUAUGGAAACAGAUGCAUUGGUUUCUGCUGGUCCUGUUAAAAAAUUAAUUGGCUGGCACUAUUGGUUAUUUUUAUUUGUGUCAUCCAGAUCUUGCACAUUAUCACUUUUUAAACCCCCCCCUUUUUUUUUCUGGAAGGGACACGAAUACAGAGGUGUGUACAGGGUCGUCUCUCUUGGCCAUUCUGUAGAGAAACACAAUUCCCCUUUUUUGGUAGAUUAGUGGGUGUUUAUUGUCACCCUCUUAGUUAAUUGGGAUAGCAAUCAUUUUUGUUGGCAAAAGCCAAUUCAAAUAUUUGUAAAUACAAGUUUUUGCACGAGGCAAUGGGUUUUUUUUUUAAAACCUUUUUUCUGUUUCUUGUACUGCCUGUGCACUUGCGGAAGUAGUGAAUCUCGUGACUAUUUUCUGUUCCUGAAAUUCAGCAAGUUGAACCAUCCCAUUUAUCGGUUUGUAUUACGCAACAGUAUAUGAAUUUAUGGUACAGAAUGCUUUGAUUC
Neltuma alba is the source of this 1251-nucleotide long non-coding RNA. RefSeq lists it as uncharacterized. NCBI's taxonomy places the organism in Eukaryota, Viridiplantae, Streptophyta, Magnoliopsida, Fabales, Fabaceae. The record is from RefSeq and is a predicted model, not a curated record. The transcript is spliced from 3 exons.